Molecule: long non-coding RNA, 383 nt
Organism: Xiphophorus couchianus (Monterrey platyfish)
Lineage: Eukaryota; Metazoa; Chordata; Actinopteri; Cyprinodontiformes; Poeciliidae
Exons: 3
Source: RefSeq, a predicted model, not a curated record
AUGACUGCAAUAAACAUGAAGUAGGGGACGCUAACUAGCAUGGACCGCACAUCUCAGAAAAACGGAAAGGUUUUCAGGAAUGUGUUGCUAUCAGCAGCUGAAGGGUUGCAGUGCAUGGUAGAACACACUGAGGCAAAGUUCAAUAAAAAGAAAGAAGGGAAAAAAAAAAAAAAUCAGCCCAAGGAGUAUUUCGCUCUGCUCUCUCUGCUGAGAUGUGUUUACUGUAAUUACAUUGCACCUAUAGCAAAACUUCAAAUGUAAUCAGAAGGACUUUUUAUAUGAACGAUGAAGCAAUAAAUUCAAACUUUAGAUUAUUUUUUUUCACUCCCACUCGAUUGCUACUCCCACUCCACACUUUGUGAUGGAGUACUAUUUUUUUUUAA